GGGGGUGUGGCUCAGUGGUAGAGCAUUUGCCUGAUGUGCAAGGUGCUGGGAUCGAUCCCUGGUGACACCA
Molecule: transfer RNA, 70 nt
Filed under: Mus musculus (house mouse)
Lineage: Eukaryota; Metazoa; Chordata; Mammalia; Rodentia; Muridae
Also listed under: 1 other name
Rfam family: tRNA
About the family: Transfer RNA (tRNA) molecules are approximately 80 nucleotides in length. Their secondary structure includes four short double-helical elements and three loops (D, anti-codon, and T loops).
Source: Rfam by way of RNAcentral